CAUAUUAGAGAAUUGAAAUGCAAAGUCUCAUGGUAAAGCAUGCCUCCCAUUGUGUCAAAGGAAUCAUGGUGUACCUCGUGUAGAUAGAAAAUCAGGUGUCACUUGAGUAUCUGUAUAGCAUGUUUCAUUUAAUUCUUGAAGGGAAGUAUGUAGAGUCACUGCACCAUGAAAACUAUAUCUAUAUAUGUAUAUACACUCGGACUGA
Molecule: unclassified non-coding RNA, 205 nt
Filed under: Hevea brasiliensis (rubber tree)
Lineage: Eukaryota; Viridiplantae; Streptophyta; Magnoliopsida; Malpighiales; Euphorbiaceae
Source: RNAcentral